RNAcentral lists this transfer RNA (73 nucleotides) under Acropora cervicornis. RNAcentral's name for it is "tRNA-Thr". It matches the Rfam family "tRNA". Rfam says of the family: Transfer RNA (tRNA) molecules are approximately 80 nucleotides in length. Their secondary structure includes four short double-helical elements and three loops (D, anti-codon, and T loops). Further hydrogen bonds mediate the characteristic L-shaped molecular structure. tRNAs have two regions of fundamental functional importance: the anti-codon, which is responsible for specific mRNA codon recognition, and the 3' end, to which the tRNAs corresponding amino acid is attached (by aminoacyl-tRNA synthetases). tRNAs cope with the degeneracy of the genetic code in two manners: having more than one tRNA (with a specific anti-codon) for a particular amino acid; and 'wobble' base-pairing, i.e. permitting non-standard base-pairing at the 3rd anti-codon position. Lineage: Eukaryota; Metazoa; Cnidaria; Anthozoa; Scleractinia; Acroporidae. The record is from RNAcentral.
GACUUCACAGCUCAGUUGGUCGAGCAUCGCACCUGUCUCGCGGAGGUCACGGAUUCGAAUCCCGUUGAAGCCC